GAUCAGGCCCGGCCCAGGAGGCAGAACCAGGGACCUCUGUCCCCCUUCCCUCCUCGGUUCCACCCAGACCAGCUGGGCAUCCUUGGCUAGCCCAAGUGGGGCCUUCCCUCAGCCCCCUCAGGUGAAAUUCAGCCCCCCCCCUUAUGCCAGCUGCUCAGAGCCAAUUCCUCCAGCAGCACCAUUAAGCUCUCUCCCGCCAUUUGCUCUUAGCCUUCAGCUCUGAGAUGGUGCCAGCCUGCCCUGGAGCCUGGCUCUCGGGGCUUCCUCCGGCACCUGCUCUAAACCCACAAGCCCAGCGGGGCCUUUGUGGCUGGCAGUUGGGCACGUCCCAGGGACCUCUUGGAGGGCAGACCUGGGUCGGUGCACCCCGUUGUUCCCAAGCAUCUGGUAACCUGGGGCACCGGUUGCUGGGUUGCAGGGUGUGGGUGCUGGGAACGGGUCCAGCAAGACGCCAGCAGUAGCUCUGCAGGCCCAGCCAGAUGGCUGCUCAGGUCCUCUGGAGAUCACGGCUGGUCAACCAUUCGCCUUCCUGCCUCCUGUGGACGGGCGGCUGCCUGUCGGGGCCCUGGGCAUGCCUGAAGCAGGGGCACCUUUGAUUCCUUCUGGGUAACCACCCUCUUCAAGUUGCAGCAGGGGCUUGUGGGUAUUUCUCCUUGAGGGGGACUGCCUGUUCCAGCAGAGAGGCCUCUAAAACAGCCUCCGAUGGCUGCCUCUGCCUCUCCUUCUAAAGUGCCCCCCUUCCUGUGCCGAGCCCUCGUUGCUGGCUGCAGCAGAGGCCGCCUGCUCCCUCCCUCCCCCCCCCCAGGGCUGGGGGCAUUUAGGAGAGAUCCAGCUUGGCCUGGAGCAGGAGGGGUCCCUCCCCAAAAUGAACGAAGGUCAUGUUUCAUCAGUAACUGAGUUGAAACAUGCUUGGGAUAAACACGUCCAACAAUAGACACAGAGACCCAAACAACAUCUACAUGCUGUGGAAAAAGGGCGUGAAAGACGUCAGCACCUCCCACCAGCAGCAGUCGGCACCCAGGACUAACGUCUUUUCUGCAGAGUGGCCGAAUGUCAGCCUCCGCUUUUACUGCUUCAGCUGCCAUAAGAAACGGGUGGGAAACAGUUAGGGGGGCAAAGUGGGGGAAGAGCGCAGGAGGAGUCUUUCCAGGAAACGAAACCGAUUCUCCAAAGGGGCCGUCAGACCAACUGUCAUUACAUUCCUGAUGGAUGACGUUGCCAGACGUGAUUCCACCUGACCUUUGGGAGACCUUUGGACUGGAUGAUGGACGAUGGACAAGGGGGGGGGAGAUGCUUUCUAGAUGCAAAUUCGCGCGUUUUGCUUAGUUCCAGCUUUACCUGGGUUGCGAUCGCUUCAUUUUCAGUAAAAGUACUAAUCUCUAUAAAUAA
Long non-coding RNA from Pantherophis guttatus, 1389 nucleotides. RefSeq lists it as uncharacterized. The record is from RefSeq and is a predicted model, not a curated record. Lineage: Eukaryota; Metazoa; Chordata; Lepidosauria; Squamata; Colubridae.